GAUUGAACUCAGGGGCACUUGACCACUGAGCCACAUCCCCAGUCCUAUUUUGUAUUUUAUUUAGAGACAAGGUCUCACUGAGUUACUUAGCACCUCACUUUUGCUGAGGCUGGCUUUGAACUUGCCAUCCUCCUGCCUCAGCCUCCCAAAACGUUGGGAUUACACACAGGCACCACUGUGCCUGGCCCAAACCUUUUAAUUUUGAGACAGUGUCUCACUAAGUUCCCUAGGCUGACCUCAAACUUGCAAUCCUCCUAUGUCAACCUCCCCAGCUGCUGGGAUUACAGGCAGUGCCAUGGCACAUGACGCUAGAAAACUUUAAAGGAAACGCAAAAUGUAGAGGUAGGAUUAGUAAGCCAGCAAAGGAAAUAUAAAAUUAACCACCCCCAAAUUAACUAACCCCACACAAAUAUCUCCCACUGGUUUUCUUUUUUUAAAACAUAAGAGCAAAACUAAUUCAAUGGAGGAAGUAGAGUCUUCAAAUAUGGUGCUGGAGCAACCAGAAUCUAUAGGCGAAUGUCCACUCCAGAAUCUUUAUGUAACCCCACAUUUUAUACAAGAAUUAGCUCUAAAUGGAUCAAUUUAAAUGUAAAGCAUAAGACUAGAAAAUCUUUGAAAAUAAUAUGAGAAAAUCUUUGCACUGAGUGGAGUGUCCUUGGAUAGGAUACUGGAAACAUUAUCCACCGAAAACAACAGAGUAAACUAGGACUCAUUGAAAUUACAACUCUUGCUCUGCAAGACCCAUGGAAAGGAUGAAAAGACAAGCUGGGAGAAAACACCUGCAAAACGCUAGUGCAACCAAGGCUUUAGAUCCAGAAUGCAAUCAAGACUCGGCAGUAAGAAGUCAAAUAGAAACUGAGCCACAUCCGGAAGAGCUACUUGGAAGCCUGAGGCAGGAGGAUCACAAAUUCCAGGUAAGCAAUUCUCAAAAAGGGCUGAGGAUAUUAGCUCA
Molecule: long non-coding RNA, 952 nt
Filed under: Marmota monax (woodchuck)
Lineage: Eukaryota; Metazoa; Chordata; Mammalia; Rodentia; Sciuridae
Source: RNAcentral